This 205-nucleotide ribosomal RNA is filed under the name Clostridioides difficile. RNAcentral describes it as "partial 16S ribosomal RNA". It matches the Rfam family "Bacterial small subunit ribosomal RNA", at positions 926 to 1128 of the family's 1533-position model. Lineage: Bacteria; Bacillati; Bacillota; Clostridia; Peptostreptococcales; Peptostreptococcaceae. The record is from RNAcentral.
CAAGUAGCGGAGCAUGUGGUUUAAUUCGAAGCAACGCGAAGAACCUUACCUAAGCUUGACAUCCCAAUGACAUCUCCUUAAUCGGAGAGUUCCCUUCGGGGAUAUUGGUGACAGGUGGUGCAUGGUUGUCGUCAGCUCGUGUCGUGAGAUGUUGGGUUAAGUCCCGCAACGAGCGCAACCCUUGUCUUUAGUUGCCAUCAUUAAG